GAUGAACGCUAGCGGCAGGCCUAACACAUGCAAGUCGAGGGGUAACAGGGGGUGCUUGCACUCCGCUGACGACCGGCGCACGGGUGCGUAACGCGUAUACAAUCUGCCUUAUACUGGGGUAUAGCCUUUAGAAAUGAAGAUUAAUCCCCCAUAGUCUCUAGAUGUGGCAUCACAAUUAGAGUAAAGGUUACGGUAUAAGAUGAGUAUGCGUUCUAUUAGUUUGUUGGUGAGGUAACGGCUCACCAAGACUACGAUAGAUAGGGGCCCUGAGAGGGGGAUCCCCCACACUGGUACUGAGACACGGACCAGACUCCUACGGGAGGCAGCAGUGAGGAAUAUUGGACAAUGGACGAAAGUCUGAUCCA
This 365-nucleotide ribosomal RNA is filed under the name uncultured bacterium. Its description in RNAcentral is "bacterial SSU rRNA". It matches the Rfam family "Bacterial small subunit ribosomal RNA", at positions 28 to 390 of the family's 1533-position model. The record is from RNAcentral.